GAUGAACGCUAGCGGCAGGCCUAAUACAUGCAAGUCGAACGGGAGCCAGAUCAAAGCUUGCUUUGGUCUGGUGAGAGGGGCGCACGGUUGCGUAACGCGUGAGCAACCUACCCUUGUCAGGUGGGUAGCCCGGCGAAAGUCGGGUUAAUACCGCAUGACAUCAUUUGGAGGCAUCUUUCGAUGAUCAAAGAUUUAUCGGACAAGGAUGGGCUCGCUUGACAUUGGCUAGUUGGUAAGGUAACGGCUUACCAAGGAUGCGAUGUCUAGGGGCGCUGAGAGGAGAACACACCACACUGGUACUGCGACCCGGACCAGAAUCCUACGGGAGGGAGGAGUAAGGAAUACUGGGCAAUGGACGGAAGUCUGACCCAGCCAUGCCGGGUGAAGGAAGACGGCGCUAUGGGUUGUAAACUGCUUUUAUGCGGGAACAAACGUCGGUACGCGUACCGGUCUGAGUGUACCGUAAGAAUAAGGACCGGCUAACUUCGUG
Molecule: ribosomal RNA, 490 nt
Filed under: uncultured bacterium
Lineage: Bacteria
Description: partial 16S ribosomal RNA
Rfam family: Bacterial small subunit ribosomal RNA
Source: RNAcentral